UGCGGCGGAUUAGGUAGUUGGUGGGGUAACGGCCUACCAAGCCGAUGAUCCGUAGGGGGCGUGAGAGCGUGGCCCCCCACACUGGCACUGAGACACGGGCCAGACUCCUACGGGAGGCAGCAGUGAGGAAUAUUGCACAAUGGGCGCAAGCCUGAUGCAGCAACGCCGCGUGAGGGACGAAGGCCUUCGGGUUGUAAACCUCUUUUCUGAGGGACGAGGAAGGACGGUACCCCAGGAAUAAGUCUCGGCUAACUACGUGCCAGCAGCCGCGGUAAAACGUAGGAGGCGAGCGUUAUCCGGAUUUACUGGGCGUAAAGCGUACGCAGGUGGCUUCGUGAGUCGGACAUGAAAGCUCCCGGCUUAACUGGGAGAGGUUGUUCGAUACUGCGAGGCUUGAGGUUGGGAGAGGGACGUGGAAUUCCCGGUGUAGUGGUGGAAUGCGUAGAUAUCGGGAGGAACACCAGUGGCGCAAGCGGCGUCCUGGCCCACACCUGACGCUGAGGUACGAAAGCGUGGGUAGCAAACAGGAUUAGAUACCCUGGUAGUCCACGCUGUAAACGAUGUCAACUGGGUGUCGGUAGUUUUACACUAUCGGUGCCGAAGCCAACGCG
Molecule: ribosomal RNA, 611 nt
Filed under: uncultured bacterium
Lineage: Bacteria
Description: bacterial SSU rRNA
Rfam family: Bacterial small subunit ribosomal RNA
Source: RNAcentral